Molecule: long non-coding RNA, 663 nt
Organism: Glycine soja
Lineage: Eukaryota; Viridiplantae; Streptophyta; Magnoliopsida; Fabales; Fabaceae
Exons: 2
Source: RefSeq, a predicted model, not a curated record
AUUGUUGUCGUGUAUCGGUCAUAAAUGGUUAGUGGAUAGGACAUGCGAGACGUCACACACGCUUACCAAUGCUCAUAAAACAGAACAUCACUGAUCACCCAUGAUGUCCUUGCACUUUAGCUGUUCUGUUACAAAGAAAGAACACCAAAUAAUGCAGUCCAUGUUAACCAUCCGUGCCACCCAUGGCCUUCCUCUGUGUCUCUCAGGGAUGAUUCACCCUCUUGCUCUCUCUCACGAUGUGUGUAGGAUAGCGGAUCACGACCGUAGGAGACGCACCAUGAGGAAGCAAAGGCAAAGAUCACUCACCAGAGAGGGUGUAGUGCAUGAUGCGGUUCGAGAAAUUCACUUUGUGGAGGUCAAAGGUGAGACCGAUUUGCAUGAUCUCUCCCACACUCAUCACCUGGGGUUGUCAGCAAGAGCUGCUUAAAAUUUAGCUUCUUCUCCAAAAUUGAUUAAUCUCGCUAGCUACUACCACUUUGUUAUGCACUUUAUUUAAUUUCAUUGUGAUGGACUCUUUCGUGAUUAUAUAUAUCAUGUUAAUUAAUUACUAGUUGUCUCCUUCUUUGUUCUGUACUCAAUUCUUAUUUUCUGUAACCACAUAUGUGCAACUUUUUCUUGUACUCUUACUCCCAUGAUUAAUAUAUUCUUCUUAUGAUGCUAGUA